RNAcentral lists this small nucleolar RNA (106 nucleotides) under Gossypium arboreum. Its description in RNAcentral is "Plant small nucleolar RNA R71". It matches the Rfam family "Plant small nucleolar RNA R71". Rfam says of the family: R71 is a member of the C/D box family of snoRNAs containing the C (UGAUGA) and D (CUGA) box motifs. Multiple nearly identical copies of this snoRNA have been identified in Arabidopsis, and it is thought to function as a 2'-O-ribose methylation guide for 18S ribosomal RNA. The record is from Rfam by way of RNAcentral. Lineage: Eukaryota; Viridiplantae; Streptophyta; Magnoliopsida; Malvales; Malvaceae.
AACGCAUGGUGAGGGCACCUUUGCAGUAAUCCUUGUAUCUCUCCCAAGCAUCGUAAAGAGUUUCUAAGUCCAUCUGUACAAAAGAAGAAAUAUCAUUACGUAACUU